UACGUAGGUGGCAAGCGUUGUCCGGAUUUACUGGGCGUAAAGGGCGCGUAGGCGGUCCUGUAAGUCCCGCGUGAAAUCCCCCGGCUCAACUGGGGAACUGCGCGGGAAACUGUGGGGCUUGAGUUCGGGAGAGGGAAGCGGAAUUCCGGGUGUAGGCGGUGAAAUGCGUAGAUAUCCGGAGGAACACCGGUGGCGAAGGCGGCUUCCUGGACCGACA
Molecule: ribosomal RNA, 217 nt
Filed under: uncultured bacterium
Lineage: Bacteria
Description: partial 16S ribosomal RNA
Rfam family: Bacterial small subunit ribosomal RNA
Source: RNAcentral